Gordionus sp. m RMFG-2023 is the source of this 5736-nucleotide RNA transcript. It is a transcript of the gene named AT-rich interactive domain-containing protein 2-like, with no coding region annotated. Lineage: Eukaryota; Metazoa; Nematomorpha; Gordioida; Chordodea; Parachordodidae. The record is from RefSeq and is a predicted model, not a curated record. The transcript has 23 exons.
UGAAAAAUAAAAUAUGUCGCUAAAAUAAAAUAACAAAAAAAUAUAAUGAUAUAAAAUAAAACCUUUUUUAAAAAAUAUUUUUUUAGUUUUGGUUUAGUUCUUUCUCUUAUGUUAAUAUUUGCUGUUUUUAAUCACUUCUGACUCUUCAAUAAAUUUUGCGCCAUUCAAAUUUUGCGAUAAUUAAGCUAUAGAUUAAUAUUCCAUUAUCUAUUAUGCUUUUGAAUACUAGCCUAUUCAUAAUCUUAGGAGCGGUCUUGGAUGGAUACAUUUGCACGACCUUGUUAAAAGUGAACAAACACUUUUAUUAUUCAUUAUACAUAAUCAAAUAAUAUCCGUUGCUUGCAGUAAUAAUAUGGAAAAUAAUUAUGAAGAGUUUAAUCGAAAAUUGAAAACAUUCCAUCAAAACAAACAAACUGAUCUUGAAUACUAUCCAAAAAUUGAUGGUAACAAAGUUGACCUUUAUAAAUUGUAUAAUAUUGUGCAGUGUUUGGGAGGAGUAAAUAAGGUGCUAGAUUUCAAUAAAUGGACCAAUGUUUUUGAAACUUAUGGAUAUCCCAAAUCAUGCUUAAAUGGCUGUUUUAUAAUGAAACAAAUUUAUACAAGAUAUUUGGAGAGCUAUGAAAGAGUUGAAAGGGGAGAAUUAACAAUGGAUGAAUGUGACAUAGAGACAAUUCCAUCAAAAUAUCAAAUGAAUCAAUACUUCAAGACAGUUUUUCCACUACAAAAAAAUGAACAAUUACUUAAAAUAGAAUCACCAUACAGUUUAACAUUUAAAAAGUUGCAACUCUUAUUAUUGUCCAAUUUGUCAAAUGAAAUUAAUUUUGCAUUAAAAUUUUUGCACCUUUUGUCUGAAAAUGAAUGUGCUAUCAAUGAAGCUCAACAUAAUUAUAAUUCAAAUAUAAAUCCCUCCAAUUCAUUAGAAAAUAGUUUAUUUUCAUUCCUCAAUUCACAAGAAUCUAAAAUUUUUCAAAAUUUUAUAUUAAAUUCAUAUAAAAAUAUAUGUAGUACUGGUCAAAUUACUUCUCACUUCUCUUUAUCUCUGCUUAACAUAGGUAAAAAUUCAAAAAUAAUUGAAACAAUAUUACACAUCCUUAAUCCAUUCAUACCACGAACAUUUGUCAAAAAAGGUAUUGACAAUCAACAAAUAUUUGCUCAAGUUGAGAAUGAUCAAGAGGAUUCAAAUAUUAAUUAUUGGAAAAAACAUGUCAAAAAGGGGAUUUGUCAGAAAAUUUUGCUCUUAGGAACAUCAGAUGAUUUUGAUGAGGCACACGUUAUAUUCAAAAGCAAGGAUUCUCGAGAUGAAAAUAGGAACGAGAAAAAUUGGAAGGAAAAGCUCAAACUAAUAUGCGAUAUAUUCCGUAACUGGUCAUUCGUUACUGCAAAUGCUAUGAUUUUAGCCAAUAGUUUAACGCUUGUGAAAGUCUUGUUGUUAACCAUCCAUUGCGACAUUCCUGAAGCCAGAUCAUCAGCCUUCGAUACAUUAUCCAACAUAUCCAAAUUUUUAAAUCUCACCAAAAUGGCCGUUUCCAGGUUUCCCGUCAUUGUAGAAGUCUUAGUCGUUACAAUUCUUCACGGCAUAUUUUCCUAUGAUCGCUUUGAAUUAAUUAGGAGCUUAGAAAUUCUGGGAAACAUUUGUCACGAUAUUAAUUUGAACAUUUUGAUCAACAAGAUGGGUCUGGAUGUGUGCGGAAGAUUGGUCAAUUUGCUUACAUUAUAUGGGGACAUACUUAUUUUGUGCAGGACGUUAGAAACGCUUUAUCAAUUAACCUUUUAUGGAAAGGAUAGCUUGUCUAAUCAUCUAGUUUUGGUUCCACGUUUUAUAGAAAUUCUGAUAGAUUUUCUUACCUAUCAAUCUAACAAUCAACCUCAACCUUUAAUUGCUCAAAAGCCUUUAUCAACACGAGACAUUCUUCAUAUGGUCAUGCCGAUUCAAACAUGGCCUAAAAUGGAGACAGUCUUCAAGGGUGAUAAAUUUGACAACAACAAAAAUUUUUUAUUAGGAAAUGAAGUUGCAUGCUUCAGUUAUUGGUGGAAAUACCUCAACAGUCAGUCCAUGGGAUCGAGUAUUAUAAACUCGAUGUCAGUCCGACUAAAAAACCUUGACCCCUCUUCCCUUAUUGUGAUUUCGGAAAAUCCCAAUACACGCAUUUUGGACCCUCCUACCAGCUUCAUUAUAAACAUGUCAUCACUUAAAAUCUGUGAUAAACUGAGCUCCCAUUCCUUGCAACAUUACAAUGACUCUACAUCUUUGGUAUCUUCCCAUUGCUCGCCCAACAACUUGAUGCACUUCGAAGCAGCUAGAUUUGCUGAAAGAUGGUUUCGAGCUUAUUAUGAGGAAAGUAUCGACCAAAUUACUCCACGAGCCGAAAUGCUCAACUGUUAUUACACAUACGGAAGAAGAUAUUUCAAGGAAGAAUUCAGACCUCUCAAAUAUACUUCUCUAUGUAAUUGUAUAAAACGCGCCUUCCCGAGAGCCAGGCUAGACCGAAAGAUUCGCGAGAAUGGCCAAUUACAAGUCCUCUGCGAGGGCAUUAAAAAAAGAUCCAACCCUUUGCCAUUACAUCAGGUCCCUCAAUUGCUACCCACUGAAUAUCAACCACAUUUGAUGAAAAAAAACAUUGAAGAAGGUACUCCCAAAAAAUUUUCACCCAACCCUGUCACAAAAACCGUUUCUCCUUCCAUAACAUAUCCCUCUGCGGGCUUGGAUAGCUCUAUUACCCAAACACUACCACCCUAUUUGAAAAUUGACAAUAACAAUUUUGACCAAUUGCAUAGCGUAGAUAAACUUAAAUUGCUACACACAGAUAGGAAACCUAAAUCCCCACAUCUAGAUAAGAAAACUAAAUUGCUGCAUAACGAAUUUUAUAAUGGUGCCUACCCUCUGGUUUACAAGCCUAAACUUUUAAAUUCUAUAUACGUGCCUUGUUCUCACAGUCAUAUAGACCUUUUAAAAAGACCUCAGGGUAGACCCAAGGGCUCUUUCGGUAAGAAAAAACGGUUGAUUCUAGAUACCUUGAAACCGCUGGUUAAAUUGGAGCUCGAAACAUUUUACGACGAUUCAAAUUUCAACUGCUCACAAAGUUCUCAGAAAUUUAUGAAAAUACUAGACACAAUUCCUGCUGCCGUUACAUGCUUAGACUGUCCCUUGUUACAAGCCAGGCUAACCUUUAAUAACUCCCGACUCAGAUUUGGAUUUAAAACCAACAAAAUUAAGCCACCCACCAUACUAAAUCAACCCUCUUUGACUUAUCCUGCUCCUCCUUUCGUAGACUCCCACAAAAAACUUUUGAAUAAUGCCCACAUUAAUGGAUCCACAAAUUUUGGUACCAGAAAAAUGGAGUUUCUCUCCAAUUUGCAAGAAAAUCUUUUAACGAAUGACCAGAUUACAGACUUUAGGGUAAAAUGUAUGGGUGAAAAUUUUGACCCGGAGCCGAUGGAACUCGAUCAAGAAUUUGUCCAACCAGAAAAUAUCGACAUACAUAUUAUUGGGGGUGACAAGAAACGUCAUGCUGGUUUGAUCGAUCAUAAUACAACAAGCUACUCAAAGGAAGAUCGCCCCACUUUAAUAAUGAUACCCACUCCUAUCACGACUGAUCCUUUAAAUAUCAUUAUUUCCACAAGUUACAGCAAAACCAGCACAUUGAGCGAAUCCAUGAAUGGGGUCGUCAAAUCCCUGGCUAGUAACUUGAUUCUCAUUCGUAAAUUGGGAGACAAAAACUUUUUUAUCACGAAUGGACCCCAAUUGGGUUCGCCAGUUGAUUCUGAACCCACCAACAAGAAUUUUACCAGAAAUAUACCUUAUACGAACAACUCUGUUUAUGGCGAAACAAAGGGAUCAAACCAUUUUAUAUGUCAUUUGUUUGAUAAGAAAAACUCUCUAUCCACUGACACUAUUUAUAAGAUUUGCAAAGGUGGGGUUAGAGAAAAGAUUCCUAAAAUAGCAGAACAGAUCCUUGCAUUACAAAUCAAUGAAAAUGUUAAAGAGAAUUUUGUUUUAGCCAAGCCUGAAAGUUUUUAUAAGUUAAACCAAAUCCUCGAAUUACCUUCUCAACCUUCCGAAAAUCUAGAAAUUAACCCAACUGAGAAACUUCCUGCCAAAGAAUAUAACUCAUUUAUUCUUCCUGAUAAAUGCGAUGAUGAGCAAAUGCGCAUAAUGUUCAAAGGGUACAAAUGUGGAUGGAAUGACUGCGGGAAGAUAUUCAAAUCUGUUCAGUCUAUUCAGUCUCAUGUUUACUUUAUUCACUCAUCUCAUGACGGGUAUUGUUCUUGGCCACCUUGUGUCGGCAAAAUUUACCGCCGAAAAUUUUCUCUUGCCAAUCAUUUGCAGGAUUUUCAUUGUGUUGAUAAAAAUUUGCAAAUCGUGUCGACGUACAUCCCAGACAUAAAAAAGGGCAAUUAUAAAAUUCAAACCCAAAAUCCUGGCCCCACUUCUCCCAAAAGGAUUACCGAGAACGAGCUUAAAGUAUGCCAAGAGCUCAACUCUAAAGAUUUAUCGCACAAUAUCAAUUAUAUGCGAACUCCCAAUAAUUUUUUGAAUGAUUACAUGAAUCAAUGUUCUCACGAUAUGCCUGACCAGGCUGCUUUGCAGACUAUCUACCGGUAUUUCAAUGCAGCGAUUUCUUCACAAAACAUCUCCAUUCAAGAAGAUUCUUUGACUAAGAAUGUCCGUUUGAUAUCAGCGUUGAUACUUAGAAACAUUGCUAAAUAUUCGCCAGUAAUUGGAAAAAGCGAAUGCCACAAUCAUUAACUCCAAAAAAAAACACAAAAUACUUACGAAAAAAUAUUCGAAGUAAUAAUGUCUAAAUGUCAAGAAGGGGAUUUAUUUCCUGAUCCAUUAUAUAUAUACAUGGAUUUCGAAAAGUCUGCUAUGAGCGCGGUUAGAACUGUCAUUGGGGAUCACAUCAUAAUCAGAGGAUGCUUUUACCAUUUGUGUCAAAGUACCCAUAGAAAAAUUUAAAAGCUAGGUCUGGAAAGCCAAUACAGAACCGAUGAAGCCCUAAGCUUCUUUUGUGGCAUGAUGGACGGCUUAGCAUUUGUUCCUUAAUGUGAUAUGGGCAAUGCAAUGGCAUUCCUUAGAUCGGUUACUCCGAGCAAUGGUAAGGAUAUUCUUGAAUAUUUUGAUAAAAAUUACAUCAAUGGAGUAUCAAGUGAGGUCACAAGAAGCAAUUCUUAAUCCCAGACACGUCGAAUUGGCCCUCGAUUUUCUCCAGAAACUUGAAACGUGAAUGAAAGCACUCUAUCCGACGAAGAACGCAUGCUUAAUCAAUGCGAAGGUUGGAAUUAUCGUUUUUUCUAAUCUGGUUGGGAAUAAACACCCAUCAAUGCGAGGUGGCUGCCGAUGAAACCAAACUUGAACGUGUAGGUAGUUGGGCACUGAAAACAAAAUCGCAGUGCUUAAACAAGAAAAAAUGCUGAUGUUCAAAUUGGUACUGGGAAAAAAAUAUGAGAAAAUUAAGAUUUACGAAACUUAUAUUUCAAUGUUGGCAUUGAGCAGAACAGAAGCAUCUCGAACGCUGGCUCAAACUCUAUGGGAAAUUAACCAUUAAUAUGAUUUUGAUAAUAUUUAUGAAAAUAUUUAAAUUUUUUCUGUAACUUUUGUUGAAUUUGCGUUCUGUAUAUCUUAUAUAUUUGUAAAAAAAUAAUAUUUUAUGAAUAAGUGUAUAUUUAAAAAUAUUGUAUAAUUAGUUAUUUUUCUGACUUGUAUAGCUAUUAUAUAUAUAUGAAGUAAAACAAAGA